This 4389-nucleotide long non-coding RNA is filed under the name Lupinus angustifolius (narrow-leaved blue lupine). RNAcentral's name for it is "long non-coding RNA (LANG_LNC001217)". Lineage: Eukaryota; Viridiplantae; Streptophyta; Magnoliopsida; Fabales; Fabaceae. The record is from RNAcentral.
UUUAUUGUUGCAUCUUUAUUAUAGUUUACAAGUUUAAAAAUGCAACAUGUAUUCUUGACUAUGUGGUACUGUGUCCAAUUUAUAUCAGUCACGAAAGAAGACCCAGGGAAUCGUCAUUUGAGAUUAGAUUGGAAAACAAGGCAGAGGAUUUGUGUUGGUAUUGCUAAAGGCUUGGCUUACCUUCAUGAAGAGUCAAGACUGAAGAUUGUUCAUAGGGACAUCAAGGCCACUAAUGUAUUGCUAGAUCAAGAUCUCAACCCAAAGAUAUCUGAUUUUGGUUUGGCCAAGCUCAAAGAAGAGGACAGUACCCACAUAGACACCAGAAUAGCUGGCACUUAGUGAGUUCCCAUAUUUUGUAUUAUUCUGCAUUGAUUAAUUUUUUAGAAGGUUCUGCAUUGAUUUUUUUGGUCUUUAUAUUUUGUUUAAAUGAUCACACCAUGAAGAAAAAAAUAAUAAAGGUUAUAUAAUGAAAUAUAUUAUCAAACUUUAAACUAGAAGGUGAGCUUCGGUGCAACAGUAAGGUUGGUUGUCUCAUCACCUUGAGGUCAUGAGUACAAAUAUUGGAAACAACCUCUUUGCUUGCAAGGAUCAGGGCGUAGGGCUGAAUACAUCUACCAUCUCUAGAUUCCACUAGGUGGAAGUCUCAUGAUUUGGGCCGCCCUUUUUUACCUUAUCAAACUUUAAUUCUUCAACUUAUGGAUUUUAAAAAGGUUAUAUAUGACUUAAAUUCUUCAAGUUACUGUAAUUGAUUAAUUUUCAACACUACACCUUUAUCUAUUUCUCCAACAUCAUGUUGUAUGAUAAAGCCCUGAUACACGCAUAUGCUUGACUUUAGAAGGAGCUUAAAAUUUUCUUAUCUUUUCAUUGAAAUUUUUUCCACUUCUGUGUUAGAACCAAAUAAACCUGUGGCUGUAAGUGUAUUUUGAUAUUUUUACAAGCAAAAGGUUUUUAGAAACUUCAACAGUCAAUGUGGUUUUAUCUUUGCACAGUUAUACUGCAGAGAAAGGAAAGUUAGCAAAUAGAAACUUCUAUUUCUUAUGUGUUUACUGGAAAUUAUAAUGUACAGCUCGGAAUACAUGAUAAGAAAUUACCUUAUUCUAAUCCUAUUUUAUUUAUCUCAAUAUUCUCAUUGUUGAGAAUUGUUCAUUUACUUCAACAAUCCCAUUAUUUGAACACUGGGCAUGACACUCAGUUUACACCUCUUUUACAUCAAUCGGCAUAAGGUGCCCCUAUAUAGGUGUCAUAUUUAGGGUACAAAAAUUAUUUUGUAUUUAUAGUAAGAAAAGAGUUAAACAAUAGGACACUGCAGCACAGCUACAUAAUUUAGCUGCUAUUAAUUAUAAUUUAGAAUUCUCCACUUUUUGCUAACAAUAUCUUAGAAUUCUCCCCAGCAGUCAAGUUGAUUUGUUGCAUUCAAUGGCUGAGCAAGACAUUUAUAUCAAGUGGGGCCAUGCCACCAUUAAAAUAUAUAAAGAAAUUAAUUUACAGGUGUUAAACCAAACUGAGGGUGAGUCUCGGCGCAACGGUAAGGUUGCUUGCCUUUUGAACUGGACUACUGGAGGUCAUGUAUGCAAAUCUUGAGAACAACUUCAUUUGGGAGGGUAAGAUUGUGUAUAUCUACCCUCCAUACCCAUUAGGUGGGAGUCUCGUGCAUUGAACCUCCCUUUUAGAUGUUAAACCAAACCAAGCAUAAAGAUAUGCAAUCAAAUAAUAAUAUAAUUGGGGGAGAGCAUACACCAAUCCUGCUGCCAUCUGCCCCUGGUUGAAUCACCUCAGAUUCUGAAUAGGAUUCUAUGAACUUUAUGCAGAGAUCUCUCAUAUAACAACUUCAGCAUAAAAAACAUUGAGCAACAGCAGACUUGUCAACAAGGAAGCGUGUAAGAAUCCUGCAUAUUUUACUGUUUCAUUUUUUUUGUAAGUUUAAGACGCUAUCCGAGCCUUAACCAUUUCUCAUAUGGCGCAGGAACUUGUUUGCAUCCUCUAUGGAUGGCAAUAGCUUGUAAGUUUUUCUCUCAAGCUAAAUUAUUGAAGUACAUAUUUACAUGUAUUUAGGUUAUUGUGUGUUAACUUGUUGUUUCCCUCUUUUUUAUUUUCUCAGAGGAAACAUUUCAUGUUUGGCAAAUUAUCACUGUCCUAAAAGUAAGUUGAGUUAUCAUGGAUUUCUUAUAGACUUACUGUAACAUUUGAACCUCUUGUUUUUUAAUGUAUUUAUUGUAUAUUUUGAGUUUGAAAUACAAGGAAAACGUAAGUUAUAUUUUUAUAACAUAUUUUAUAACAAUUAUUGAUUCUUUUAGUUACUCACAUAAUCUAUUUUUCCAGCCUUGUACUCUCUCUAUAUAAAUUGUGGUGGAAAGCUUGUAAUUUCUAAUGGGAGCAAGACAUAUGAUGAUGAUUCGAGUGAAAUGGGACCAGCAAGAUUUCGUCAAACCGGAAUGAACUGGGCAGUUAUCACUGCUGGUCACUUCUUCGAUAGUGGUCGCUCAGACUACUAUACAUGGUCUAAUACAACUAAGCUUCUUAUGGACAAUGCUGAACUGUACAUGGAUGCACGUGUUUCUCCCAAUACUUUGACUUAUUAUGGAUUUUGCCUGGGAAAUGGAAACUACACAGUGAAUCUCCAUUUUGCAGAAAUAAUGUUCACUAAUGAUGAAACAUAUUAUAGCCUGGGAAGGCGUGUGUUUGACAUCUACAUUCAGGUUCACGAUUUUAUCAUAUUCCCACCUUUGUCAACCACAUGUUAAAUAUUUAGCAAAUGCCUUUUGGCAAAGUGGCCACUAGUCUCUUUGGGGACAUCGUGUUAGCAGAUUCAAAUCCUAGAGCAGAUUGUUUGAUGUAAACCAAAAUAUGUCCUAAUCCAAUGAAAUAAUGAACUUAAUAAUGCAAAACUGUGCGAUACAAUAUUCUCAUUUCUUCCUAUACUUCGAAAGUUAUAACUAUCAUGAACGAUCUGUAUCUGGAUUUUAAUAUUGCAGAGAAAGUUGGUGGUAAAGGAUUUCAACAUUGCAAAGGAAGCAGGGGGUGUUGGUAAGCCAGUCAUUAAGAAGUUCACUGUUGCUGUGACUAGUAAUGCCUUGGAAAUUCGUUUAUAUUGGGCUGGGAAAGGAACAACUACUAUCCCAUUUGGAUCAGUAUAUGGUCCUCUUAUAUCAGCUAUAUCUGUUGAUUCUGGUGGGUUGUACUUCUCUGUAGUUUCUUAUUCUCUGCUAUCACCAUUAUCAUUUAAUAAUGUAAAACUCAUAAUAACACGCAGACUUUACACCCCAAUCGGAAAGUGGUAGUAGCAUAUCGGCAGGGGUUGUGGUUGCAAUUGUGGCUGCAGGAGCAAUUUUUAUCAUCUUUGUAUUUGGUAUGCUGUGGUGGAAAGGUUGUCUAGGACUUAAAAGUUCAGUGGCAAAAGGUAAACACUGAGAAAUUACUCCAAUUAUCCUGAAUACCAAUUUUUGAUAAAAAUUCAGAAAUUUUUAUGCACCAAAACCAGAUUUUGCAUGUCUUGUACAUGAAUUUGAUUGUUGAGCUAUCUAAUUGCUUGGCCUUUCAUCGUACUUAAUCUUUUUGCUAACUUCUCGUGAUGAAACUAACAACACAGGUGAUGAAUUGAAUGAUGCCAUUUGUUUCCAAAUGGAUAUAUAGUUAUCCUAAUAUUAGAGAUCUCUGAUUUUUGCUGGCUUCUACUGACAGAUCUAAAGGGUUUAAGUUCACAAAGUGGCGUAUUUACAUUACGGCAAAUCAAAGCUGCAACAAACAACUUUGAUGAAUCCUUUAAGAUUGGAAAAGGAGGGUUUGGCCCUGUUUACAAGGUAUGUUCUGAAAAACCCAACAUGUUUGAUCGACCAUCAUGACUUGUAUGUUCUAUCGUGGCAAUCAAAAGCUGUAUAACAUCACCAAAAUGCAGGGUAUUCUGUCAGAUGGCACAGUAGUAGCUGUUAAGCAGCUUUCAUCAAAAUCAAGGCAAGGAAACCGUGAAUUUGUAAAUGAGAUAGGCAUGAUUUCUGCUUUGAAACACCCUAAUCUUGUUAAACUCCACGGCUUUUGUGUGGAGGAGGAUCAGUUGUUGCUGAUAUAUGAAUACAUGGAAAACAAUAGCCUUGCUCAUACUUUAUUUGGUAAUUAUUUCUGUGUUCAAGUUUAUUGUUGCAUCUUUAUUAUAGUUUACAAGUUUAAAAAUGCAACAUGUAUUCUUGACUAUGUGGUACUGUGUCCAAUUUAUAUCAGUCACGAAAGAAGACCCAGGGAAUCGUCAUUUGAGAUUAGAUUGGAAAACAAGGCAGAGGAUUUGUGUUGGUAUUGCUAAAGGCUUGGCUUACCUUCAUGAAGAGUCAAGACUGAAGAUUGUUCAUAGGGACAUCAAGGCCACUAAUGUAUUGCUAGAUCAAGAUCUCAACCCAAAGA